GACGAACGCUGGCGGCGUGCUUAACACAUGCAAGUCGAACGGAAAGGCCCUGCUUUUGUGGGGUGCUCGAGUGGCGAACGGGUGAGUAACACGUGAGUAACCUGCCCUUGACUUUGGGAUAACUUCAGGAAACUGGGGCUACUACCGGAUAGGAGCUCCUGUUGCAUGGUGGGGGUUGGAAAGUUUCGGCGGUUGGGGAUGGACUCGCGGCUUAUCAGCUUGCUGGUGGGGUAGUGGCUUACCGAGGCUUUGACGGGUAGCCGGCCUGAGAGGGUGACCGGCCACAUGGGGACUGAGAGACGGCGCAGACUCCUACGGGAGGCAGCAGUGGGGAAUAUUGCACAAUGGGCGGAAGCCUGAGGCAGCAACGCCGCGGGCGGGAUGACGGCCUGCGGGUUGUGAACCGCUUUCGCCUGUGACGAAGCGUGAGUGACGGUAAUGGGUAAGGAAGCACCGGCUAACUACGUG
Molecule: ribosomal RNA, 468 nt
Filed under: uncultured bacterium
Lineage: Bacteria
Description: partial 16S ribosomal RNA
Rfam family: Bacterial small subunit ribosomal RNA
Source: RNAcentral